RNAcentral lists this ribosomal RNA (231 nucleotides) under uncultured bacterium. RNAcentral describes it as "partial 16S ribosomal RNA". It matches the Rfam family "Bacterial small subunit ribosomal RNA", at positions 99 to 334 of the family's 1533-position model. The record is from RNAcentral.
CGGACGGGUGAGUAAUGUCUGGGAAACUGCCCGAUGGAGGGGGAUAACUACUGGAAACGGUAGCUAAUACCGCAUAACGUCGCAAGACCAAAGAGGGGACCUUAGGGCCUCUUGCCAUCGGAUGUGCCCAGAUGGGAUUAGCUAGUAGGUAAGGUAACGGCUUACCUAGGCGACGAUCCCUAGCUGGUCUGAGAGGAUGAUCAGCCACACUGGGACUGAGACACGGUCCAG